This 1084-nucleotide long non-coding RNA is filed under the name Coffea arabica (coffee). RNAcentral describes it as "long non-coding RNA (CARA_LNC003658)". Lineage: Eukaryota; Viridiplantae; Streptophyta; Magnoliopsida; Gentianales; Rubiaceae. The record is from RNAcentral.
UCUCACUGUAAUUUAAGUCGUGGGCAUGGUCCCAAACCAUGACUCCUCCAUAACUGGAAUAGUUCUGCACAAAGGGAAGAACCUCAUCAAUUAGCACUUGCGGUGGGAUGUAACCACCACUAGGUGAGACUGCAGGGUCUGCAGGUACUCCCAGGAAUAAUGUAUUAAUGCCUGGAUAGGAAGCCCAGCUGUCCCAACUGUCGAAGAGGGGACUGGUAUUGCCUGGUGUAUACUCACAAGGAGGAUUGUUAAAAAAUUCCACCCACACGUAAUCAAAAUGGCCAGUUUUGAUAGCAGCGUCCAGAAAAUAGUCAGGAAUGAAACAUUCUGGUGCUGCUGAUAAAUACACCAGCUUCCUCUCUGGUGUGUUAUAUUUUGAUAGCGCCUGAACAAGGUCAGCCAAGUAAUCCGCCUUUCCAGCUUGGAUAUGAAAAUCUACACCAUCUAAAACGGCAUUGCCUAAUGGACGAGAGUCUGAUUCAUUACCACCUAAGAAUUCGUUCCAGAUAUAGGAGGCGACUUGCUGAGCAUCAUCGGAAGAAGAAAGGUUAGCGGCUCCACCGAGAGAAAGAAACACUUUGAUGCCUAGGCCUUGGCAAGUUUCUAUUUCGGAACUGUUUAAGGAAUGCCCAGCUAUGUUCAAUUGCGGUGUUUGGCCACCGCCAUAAUUUAUCAGAAAGGCAAUAUUCACGUAGUCGUAGGUACCUUUACGACAUGUGUCUACCAGGCUUCCUUCUGUAGUGUUUUGGCCCCAGUAGGUGGCAAUGCCAGCAUUUACGGGCUGUAUCUGGGACUUGUUAACAUAAGGCCUGAUUGUCUCACUGUAAUUUAAGUCAUGGGCAUGGUCCCAAACCAUGACCCCUCCAUAAUUGGAGUAGUUCUGCACAAAGGGAAGAACCUCAUCAAUUAGCACUUGCGGUGGGAUGUAACCACCACUAGGUGAGACUGCAGGGUCUGCAGGUACUCCCAGGAAUAAUGUAUUAAUGCCUGGAUAGGAAGCCCAGCGGUCCCAACUGUCGAAGAGGGGACUGGUAUUGCCUGGUGUAUACUCACAAGGAGGAUUGUUAAAAAAUUCCACCCACAC